AUCAGGUCUACAGUAUAUAGUGGGGUUGUUUUAUCAGGUCUACAGUAUAUAGUGGGGUUGUUUUAUCAGGUCUACAGUAUAUAGUGGGGGUUGUUUUAUCAGGUCUACAGUAUAUAGUGGGGUUGUUUUAUCAGGUCUACAGUAUAUAGUGGGGUUGUUUUAUCAGGUCUACAGUAUAUAGUAGGGGUUGUUUUAUCAGGUCUACAGUAUAUAGUGGGGGUUGUUUUAUCAGGUCUACAGUAUAUAGUAGGGGUUGUUUUAUCAGGUCUACAGUAUAUAGUGGGGGUUGUUUUAUCAGGUCUACAGUAUAUAGUGGGGGUUGUUUUAUCAGGUCUACAGUAUAUAGUAGGGGUUGUUUUAUCAGGUCUACAGUAUAUAGUGGGGUUGUUUUAUCAGGUCUACAGUAUAUAGUGGGGUUGUUUUAUCAGGUCUACAGUAUAUAGUGGGGGUUGUUUUAUCAGGUCUACAGUAUAUAGUGGGGUUGUUUUAUCAGGUCUACAGUAUAUAGUGGGGUUGUUUUAUCAGGUCUACAGUAUAUAGUGGGGUUGUUUUAUCAGGUCUACAGUAUAUAGUGGGGGUUGUUUUAUCAGGUCUACAGUAUAUAGUGGGGGUUGUUUUAUCAGGUCUACAGUAUAUAGUGGGGUUGUUUUAUCAGGUCUACAGUAUAUAGUGGGGGUUGUUUUAUCAGGUCUACAGUAUAUAGUGGGGUUGUUUUAUCAGGUCUACAGUAUAUAGUGGGGUUGUUUUAUCAGGUCUACAGUAUAUAGUGGGGGUUGUUUUAUCAGGUCUACAGUAUAUAGUGGGGUUGUUUUAUCAGGUGUACAGUAUAUAGUGGGGGUUGUUUUAUCAGGUCUACAGUAUAUAGUGGGGGUUGUUUUAUCAGGUCUACAGUAUAUAGUGAAUGAACUUCCUUUGUUUGUUGAAGAUAGAAAUAGAAUUCUAUAAAAAUGACGUUUGAGAG
Oncorhynchus keta (chum salmon) is the source of this 961-nucleotide long non-coding RNA. RefSeq lists it as uncharacterized. The transcript has 4 exons. The record is from RefSeq and is a predicted model, not a curated record. Lineage: Eukaryota; Metazoa; Chordata; Actinopteri; Salmoniformes; Salmonidae.